CUUCUUCAUUGAUUAGAAGUUCUAACCUAAAGAGGCAUUUAGAAAUAGAUGAUAACUUAAUAACUACUAUUGGCAGAGGCCUUCAGGCCCAUACUAAACAAGCGCUUAACCAAAAUAAUGUGACGAACCACGCCUACAGCAACCAAAUAAAC
This is a long non-coding RNA of Gordionus sp. m RMFG-2023, 152 nucleotides long. RefSeq lists it as uncharacterized. Lineage: Eukaryota; Metazoa; Nematomorpha; Gordioida; Chordodea; Parachordodidae. The transcript is spliced from 3 exons. The record is from RefSeq and is a predicted model, not a curated record.